This 71-nucleotide transfer RNA is filed under the name Capsicum annuum. It matches the Rfam family "tRNA". From Rfam's summary of the family: Transfer RNA (tRNA) molecules are approximately 80 nucleotides in length. Their secondary structure includes four short double-helical elements and three loops (D, anti-codon, and T loops). The record is from Rfam by way of RNAcentral. Lineage: Eukaryota; Viridiplantae; Streptophyta; Magnoliopsida; Solanales; Solanaceae.
AGGUCGUUAGCUUAGUGGUAGAUUAUUUGACUGCAAGUCAAGAGGUCAUAGUUCAAACCUAAUAGGACCUU